GGUUUGUCGCGUUGUUCGUGAAAUCUCACGGCUUAACUGUGAGCGUGCGGGCGAUACGGGCAGACUUGAGUACUGCAGGGGAGACUGGAAUUCCUGGUGUAGCGGUGGAAUGCGCAGAUAUCAGGAGGAACACCGGUGGCGAAGGCGGGUCUCUGGGCAGUAACUGACGCUGAGGAGCGAAAGCGUGGGGAGCGAACAGGAUUAGAUACCCUGGUAGUCCACGCCGUAAACGGUGGGUACUAGGUGUGGGUUUCCUUCCUUGGGAUCCGUGCCGUAGCUAACGCAUUAAGUACCCCGCCUGGGGAGUACGGCCGCAAGGCUAAAACUCAAAGAAAUUGACGGGGGCCCGCACAAGCGGCGGAGCAUGUGGAUUAAUUCGAUGCAACGCGAAGAACCUUACCUGGGUUUGACAUGCACAGGACGCCGGCAGAGAUGUCGGUUCCCUUGUGGCCUGUGUGCAAGUGGUGCAUGGCUGUCGUCAGCUCGUGUCGUGAGAUGUUGGGUUAAGUCCCGCAACGAGCGCAACCCUUGUCUCAUGUUGCCAGCGGGUAAUGCCGGGGACUCGUGAGAGACUGCCGGGGUCAACUCGGAGGAAGGUGGGGAUGACGUCAAGUCAUCAUGCCCCUUAUGUCCAGGGCUUCACACAUGCUACAAUGGCCGGUACAAAGGGCUGCGAUGCCGCGAGGUUAAGCGAAUCCUUUUAAAGCCGGUCUCAGUUCGGAUCGGGGUCUGCAACUCGACCCCGUGAAGUCGGAGUCGCUAGU
RNAcentral lists this ribosomal RNA (764 nucleotides) under uncultured bacterium. RNAcentral describes it as "bacterial SSU rRNA". It matches the Rfam family "Bacterial small subunit ribosomal RNA", at positions 577 to 1339 of the family's 1533-position model. The record is from RNAcentral.